Molecule: ribosomal RNA, 638 nt
Filed under: uncultured bacterium
Lineage: Bacteria
Description: bacterial SSU rRNA
Rfam family: Bacterial small subunit ribosomal RNA
Source: RNAcentral
AGAGUUUGAUCCUGGCUCAGAUUGAACGCUGGCGGCAGGCCUAACACAUGCAAGUCGAGCGGAUGAUGGGAGCUUGCUCCCGGAUUCAGCGGCGGACGGGUGAGUAAUGCCUAGGAAUCUGCCUGGUAGUGGGGGACAACGUUUCGAAAGGAACGCUAAUACCGCAUACGUCCUACGGGAGAAAGCAGGGGACCUUCGGGCCUUGCGCUAUCAGAUGAGCCUAGGUCGGAUUAGCUAGUUGGUGGGGUAAAGGCCUACCAAGGCGACGAUCCGUAACUGGUCUGAGAGGAUGAUCAGUCACACUGGAACUGAGACACGGUCCAUACUCCUACGGGAGGCAGCAGUGGGGAAUAUUGGACAAUGGGCGAAAGCCUGAUCCAGCCAUGCCGCGUGUGUGAAGAAGGUCUUCGGAUUGUAAAGCACUUUAAGUUGGGAGGAAGGGCAGUAAGUUAAUACCUUGCUGUUUUGACGUUACCAACAGAAUAAGCACCGGCUAACUUCGUGCCAGCAGCCGCGGUAAUACGAAGGGUGCAAGCGUUAAUCGGAAUUACUGGGCGUAAAGCGCGCGUAGGUGGUUUGGUAAGAUGGAUGUGAAAUCCCCGGGCUCAACCUGGGACCUGCAUCCAUAACUGCCUGAC